Molecule: ribosomal RNA, 634 nt
Filed under: Trichoderma spirale
Lineage: Eukaryota; Fungi; Ascomycota; Sordariomycetes; Hypocreales; Hypocreaceae
Description: eukaryotic LSU rRNA
Rfam family: 5.8S ribosomal RNA (bases 253-406)
Source: RNAcentral
UGGAAGUAAAAGUCGUAACAAGGUCUCCGUUGGUGAACCAGCGGAGGGAUCAUUACCGAGUUUACAACUCCCAAACCCAAUGUGAACGUUACCAAACUGUUGCCUCGGCGGGAUCUCUGCCCCGGGUGCGUCGCAGCCCCGGACCAAGGCGCCCGCCGGAGGACCAACCAAAACUCUUUUGUAUACCCCCUCGCGGGUUUUUAUAUCUGAGCCAUCUCGGCGCCUCUCGUAGGCGUUUCGAAAAUGAAUCAAAACUUUCAACAACGGAUCUCUUGGUUCUGGCAUCGAUGAAGAACGCAGCGAAAUGCGAUAAGUAAUGUGAAUUGCAGAAUUCAGUGAAUCAUCGAAUCUUUGAACGCACAUUGCGCCCGCCAGUAUUCUGGCGGGCAUGCCUGUCCGAGCGUCAUUUCAACCCUCGAACCCCUCCGGGGGGUCGGCGUUGGGGAUCGGCCCUUUACGGGGCCGGCCCCGAAAUACAGUGGCGGUCUCGCCGCAGCCUCUCCUGCGCAGUAGUUUGCACACUCGCAUCGGGAGCGCGGCGCGUCCAUUGCCGUAAAACACCCAACUUUCUGAAAUGUUGACCUCGGAUCAGGUAGGAAUACCCGCUGACUUAAGCAUAUCAAUAAGCGGAGGA